Molecule: ribosomal RNA, 468 nt
Filed under: uncultured bacterium
Lineage: Bacteria
Description: partial 16S ribosomal RNA
Rfam family: Bacterial small subunit ribosomal RNA
Source: RNAcentral
GACGAACGCUGGCGGCGUGCUUAACACAUGCAAGUCGAACGGAAAGGCCCUGCUUUUGUGGGGUGCUCGAGUGGCGAACGGGUGAGUGACACGUGAGUAACCUGCCCUUGACUUUGGGAUAACUUCAGGAAACUGGGGCUAAUACCGGAUAGGAGCUCCUGCUGCAUGGUGGGGGUUGGAAAGUUUCGGCGGUUGGGGAUAGACUCGCGGCUUAUCAGCUUGUUGGUGGGGUAGUGGCUUACCAAGGCUUUGACGGGUAGCCGGCCUGAGAGGGUGACCGGCCACAUUGGGACUGAGAUACGGCCCAGACUCCUACGGGAGGCAGCAGUGGGGAAUAUUGCACAAUGGGCGGAAGCCUGAUGCAGCAACGCCGCGUGCGGGAUGACGGCCUUCGGGUUGUAAACCGCUUUCGCCUGUGACGAAGCGUGAGUGACGGUAAUGGGUAAAGAAGCACCGGCUAACUACGUG